Eriocheir sinensis (Chinese mitten crab) is the source of this 772-nucleotide long non-coding RNA. RefSeq lists it as uncharacterized. The transcript has 3 exons. The record is from RefSeq and is a predicted model, not a curated record. Lineage: Eukaryota; Metazoa; Arthropoda; Malacostraca; Decapoda; Varunidae.
CACGUGUUCGAAUCCCUGCUUCGUCCGGUGCGGCGAGACUGGGGAAGGAAGGAGGGAGGCAGAGACGAGCCGGACACGGAGGAGGGAAGGCGUGUGGAGGUGAAGGAGGGGAAGGAUCUGAAGGAGGAACACUUACCAUAACCACAACUACCACCACCACCGCUACCAUCACCACCACCACCACCACCGCUACCAUCACCACCAUCAUCACCACGAGUCUGCCAAGAGCGAUGCAGUGGGAGGCGGAGCGGGAGAGGGAGAGAGAGAGAGACGCCCGCGGGGUACGACAGAGAGAGACAAGAGGAGGAGAGGAUGAACGCGAGACGGAGAGGAUGAAGUAAGCUCACGACCUGCACUGCUGCCUGGAUGGAGAAACCUUGCACACUGCCGUCGGAGUCAGCACUUGUCAUUCACUCUGAAAAGAUAGGUAGCAUUUUUAGAUGGUGGUGACCUGCGCUGUCAUGUGUAUGCUGUGUACACUGAAAUAUAUAUAUACUUAAGCCAAAGCCAGACGUUUCUUUCUUUUACAACCUGUUAUCUGGUGUAUCUCCAGAAACUGUUUAAAGUAUCAUUGACUUGGUAAAGGUGAUGUUGGGAUCUUGCAUUAGUUAUGUAUAAUUCCAUGACAAAUCACAUCGACGUCACUUAACUUAGUCAUGGAAGUUAUGAAGGAUCUACACAAGUGGCUUGAGAGCUGCUGUAAUUCUUAUGUUAAAUGGACAGUAAAUCCAAACUGUUAUAUCACUGCUAUUUCAACUCACUAAAUAAAGGA